CUCUUGAUUAGCUGUGUGACGUUUCACAGGUUGCCUAACCCCUCUGAGGUUUGGGUUUCACAGCCAUUAAAUGGGUUGAAUACCCAGGAACCUGAUUACCUUGAGGUGGUCAUGGGGUCAGGCCUGCAGCUCCAGCCUUGGAGGUGUUCUGUUUGGGCAGCCAUCAGGGGAAACUACUUGAGGAGGAGCCAGUGCCUUGGGAUUAAGAAGAUGGUGCUCCUCCCUCAGGGUAAUAGGAGGGGGAGUUCUUAAAUGUCCUGGAGUAUCCAGGUCUGGAGAGAAGACGACAUGACCUGAAACUCAGCAGGUGGUGGUGAGCUUCAGACUGCUGAGGCUGUGGCAGAGGCAGUGUGCAGUUCUCUGCCCCAUCCUUUGAAAUACCAGGAGCGCAGCUGACACAGGCUGAAAGGGAAACUUAGUUGUGAUACAGCCAAGAGCCUGUCAGCUUCUGUAGGGGGUUCUCCUUACCCUGAGUGUAUAGAGAGGUGAUGACCACUGGUGGGAGCUGAGAAACCAUAUAGCCGCCUGCAACAAGUAAAUGUUGAUAUUUGCAUUGGAGAUAUGGGGAGUUAACACUCUCCACGGGAGAUUUGUUCUUUUGCUUACAGUUUCUUACUUAGGUAACUGAGAAGUGAAGCUUUUGAAAAAUCAAAAAAGAAAUUUAACUUAUUAUGUGGGGUAGGGACAAAGGAAAGUCACCAAGUUCAGGAAUGGCGUAACCCAGCCUUGCUGUAAGAGGGUGACAUCUGUGCCUGACCAUAGGCUGACACUGGUGACCAGGGCCAUCUGGGGCAGAGCUGUGAACCCAAGGAAGCAGGUGUCUGCAGCACGGCAGCCAACACUUCUGGAGCACAUGGCUCUGCAGUGAAGGAUUCUGGAGCCCCCAUUCAUCUGAAGGGGAUCCGAGGAGGUUCUGUCUUGUUGCAUGUGAUUGAGAAGCUCAGAGUAGAUGUAGGUGCUGAGCUGGAGGAGGUUCUGUGGGCUUUGGGCACUCUGUCAAAUCAUACACAGCUUCUGCAAGUCCACAGCGGGGCCGAUUCUCCAACCUGGUUGAAACUCCAGGACAAGUUCAAGCAGAGCAUCCAUGUACCCAGCAUGUCAUCCCUGAGGAUUGAGAACCUGGCCCUUGAGGACAGUGGGCAGUACUUUGCCCUCAUCUCUAGUGGGGGAGAUGGGAUUGUGUAGAUUUUCUACCUCACUGUCUAUGGUGAGUGACACCCCUCCCCCAUGCUCUGGCUUACCUGCUUUCUUUGUCCCUAGAGUGUCACAUAGGCCCCACACAGGGUUGCAUUCAGGCACUGGCCUUCAGACUCCAUUUUCUCCGCUAAAAAUAAAGCUUGUGAGGUCCCCAGAGAUAGAGCAGAGCUGAGAUUCACACCAGGGAAUGAAGUUCUUUCAGUGUUUUGGGAGAGGAAAUGGAAAUUCUGAAAAAUAGCAAUUUUUUCAAUAACAUUAAUCAUCCUAUAUAUGAUUAAUGUCACUUAAUUUGUAUAGUAAUUUUUUAUUGCUGAUGUAACAAAUUGUCAAAAAUUGUUGGCUGAAAGCAAGACAAAUUUAUUAUCUCAUUGUGCUGUAGGCCAGAGGCCUGACACAAGUCUCCGGGAGCUAAAAUGAAGGUGGUUUCAAGCUGUGUUCUUUCUGGGGACUCCAGGGGAGAACUUGUUUUUUCACCUGCUAGUGGCUGCUGGCAUCCCAUGGUUCAUGGCCAUCUUCCUGUAUCUCCUAAUCGAACACUGAUGUUAGUGUCUGGGAAUGAAUAGUCAGCUGAUUAGCAACCUUAAUUCCAUCUUAAUUUCAUCAACCUUAAUUCCUCUUCUCUUGCUGUCUAACCUAUUCCUAGGUUACCAGGAUAGGUCUUGGACAUUUUGGAGGCCACCGUUCUGCCUACCAUAGUUGGGAAUCCCUGUGAAUGGAGUCCUCCCAGUCCUCUCUGCUCUCACUCAGCCCCAGCCCAAAGCCAGCUUCAGUCACGCAAGCCACCACAAAUCUAGCUCUCAAAGCCUCCACAGGUGUAGGAGAAAGUUUACACCACAACACUUCUUAGGGAACCCAUUUACCAACUCUUUCUUUCCCUAAAGUUCCUCUCUGCAGAGGGAAAUAUCCUGCCAUGGAGAGAGUGGGUUUUACAGCUUUAGGUCCCACGUGAUUUCUCAGGCUGGCCUGUGAAUUGGAUUCUUCUCUUCUGUCUGCACCACAGGUUCCAGUGGCACUUUCUAAGCACAGUAAGAGUCAUUGUUCCCAGUCACUAUCACCUCAUCUCCCACAGACGUGUCUACUUUAGGGAUCAUGGGCCUUUCUCUGGCCUCCCGGAGCUGACCUGACGUACUGCCCCACAAGGGCUAUGCAGUCUCAGGCAUGGCCUAAGCUGGAGACACACAGGAGGGACUCUGGGCCAGCACAAGCUUUUCUUCCCCAGACUUCUUCCCCUUCUUGGAAAGACCCUGAUAUUCUGAAAACACUGCAUCACAUGUCCAGAUUUUAUUUUCUUUGGGACAGUUUUAAGACAUGUUGAAUCAGGGAACCCACAUGGAGUUGAACUCAGUGGCUUCCUUUCUUAUUUCAUUUGCUCCAUAUUUAGCUUUGGGCAAAUUGUGUUUCAUCUGUAGAAUACACUCACUUUCCUUAUAUGGCGCAUGCCAAGGCUGCAACGAGAAAAUUAUGAGAAAGUUAGACAUGCAAUGUUCUCCACAUAUGUGAGAUUCCCCUCUUUUGUCCCCUUCUGCCCCAGAGCCUGUGCCUCACCCUGAGAUCCUGGCAAAGUCACAGUCUAUCACACCAGACCUGUGUAACAUCACCCUGGAGUGUAGGGCUCCAGGGACCACAGAGUACCUGAAUGUGACUUGGGAGAGCAAGGGCCUCCUCAGAGAGCUGCAGAGAGAAACACCAGGACCAGCCUCCAACCCCUGGACACUGGCUGUGAACCUGCCCCUGUGCCAGUGCAACACCCACCUCACCUGUGUGGUCAGCAACCAGGCAGAUCAGAAAGCUGCAAUCUUAGACUUUAGAAAAGUCUGUGUCCAAGGUGAGUGGUGAGUGUAGCCUGCAGGAUAGGAGGGGCUGCCCAAUCUCAGGUAGCACUGGGGUCUGAGGGU
Macaca mulatta (Rhesus monkey) is the source of this 3092-nucleotide long non-coding RNA. Lineage: Eukaryota; Metazoa; Chordata; Mammalia; Primates; Cercopithecidae. The record is from Ensembl.